Molecule: ribosomal RNA, 460 nt
Filed under: uncultured bacterium
Lineage: Bacteria
Description: partial 16S ribosomal RNA
Rfam family: Bacterial small subunit ribosomal RNA
Source: RNAcentral
CCUACGGGAGGCAGCAGUGAGGAAUAUUGGUCAAUGGACGAGAGUCUGAACCAGCCAAGUAGCGUGAAGGAUGACUGCCCUAUGGGUUGUAAACUUCUUUUAUAUGGGAAUAAAACGUUCCACGUGUGGGAUUUUGUAUGUACCAUAUUAAUAAGGAUCGGCUAACUCCGUGCCAGCAGCCGCGGUAAUACGGAGGAUCCGAGCGUUAUCCGGAUUUAUUGGGUGUAAAGGGAGCGUAGGUGGAUUGUUAAGUCAGUUGUGAAAGUUUGCGGCUCAACCGUAAAAUUGCAGUUGAAACUGGCAGUCUUGAGUACAGUAGAGGUGGGCGGAAUUCGUGGUGUAGCGGUGAAAUGCUUAGAUAUCACGAAGAACUCCGAUUGCGAAGGCAGUUCACUGGACUGCAACUGACACUGAGGCUCGAAAGUGUGGGUAUCAAACAGGAUUAGAUACCCGGGUAGUC